AGGAAUAGGAAAGGAGUGGGGAAGAGGAAGGAGAAGAGGAUGAAGAGAUGGAUUUUGAGAAAGACGAUUGAACUUUUUUUUAAGGAUUGUAAUUUAGGAUAAUUUUUAUUUUAUUAUUUUAGGAGUAGGAUUAAUCGUAGACUUUUAUAUUUUAUUGUCUUUUUUGUUUUAAAAUUUUCCAUGUAGGAACCUCACAUGAAAGAACCAUGACAUUUUCAAGCUUAC
Molecule: long non-coding RNA, 225 nt
Filed under: Gossypium raimondii (Peruvian cotton)
Lineage: Eukaryota; Viridiplantae; Streptophyta; Magnoliopsida; Malvales; Malvaceae
Description: long non-coding RNA (GRAI_LNC001117)
Source: RNAcentral